RNAcentral lists this ribosomal RNA (305 nucleotides) under uncultured bacterium. RNAcentral's name for it is "bacterial SSU rRNA". It matches the Rfam family "Bacterial small subunit ribosomal RNA", at positions 335 to 657 of the family's 1533-position model. The record is from RNAcentral.
ACUCCUACGGGGGGCAGCAGUGGGGAAUAUUGCGCAAUGGGCGAAAGCCUGACGCAGCGACGCCGCGUGAGGGAUGAAGUAUUUCGGUAUGUAAAGCUCUAUCAGCAGGGAAGAAAAUGACGGUACCUGACUAAGAAGCCCCGGCUAACUACGUGCCAGCAGCCGCGGUAAUACGUAGGGGGCAAGCGUUAUCCGGAUUUACUGGGUGUAAAGGGAGCGUAGACGGCAGUGCAAGUCAGGAGUGAAAGCCCGGGGCCCAACCCCGGGACUGCUCUUGGAACUGCGUGGCUGGAGUGCAGGAGGGG